This is an RNA transcript of Cephus cinctus (wheat stem sawfly), 1905 nucleotides long. RefSeq lists it as uncharacterized. The record is from RefSeq and is a predicted model, not a curated record. The transcript has 4 exons. NCBI's taxonomy places the organism in Eukaryota, Metazoa, Arthropoda, Insecta, Hymenoptera, Cephidae.
UUCCAUUAAGGGUUUUCAGGUAUUCCAUUCAGGCUUUCUCAUUAAAAUUUUUCGAAACGUCGAUUUUUUUGCUUAUUCAGAUAGUUACAACGCCUCAAGAAUACUGUGUUCAAAUCUUUCGACGAUAUUCGUUACGGUUACAAUUCUACAGCCAUAAAAGUGACCGAGGAUCGGCACGCAGGUAGGAGGAGCAUGUAAAUAUAAUAAUUUCAUAUAAUAUAAUAAUCAUAAUAUAAUAAUAAUUGUUAGUGCGCUUGAAUUCAAGUGACUUCACGCUCUUUGAUAGAUCGAUAAUCGAUCCAUACAACUUCCGCCCUUUUUAUGAUAUUCGAUAUUACAUCCACUCCAGAAGGGACAUAGGUGACAUGUGACUCUAAAACCCGUAUUCAGAACUCGCUUUUAGUGCUAAUAGCGCGCUUUUAAAUUAUUUGUUAGUGAGUUUAUAGGUGAUCGUAUUCAGAACCGCUUGUAUGGUCACUCUUAAGGUCACUAACAGCUAAUAGCGCGCUAUUAGGGAAAAAGCCUAUUCAGAACCGCUUUUAAGCAUUUAUCAGCGCGCUAUUAGGUGCCAUCUUGUGACUAACAGCGACCUGUUCGGAGAUGUGGGCAGGGGCAUGUUUAAAGUGACAGGUCGCUCAAAUAUGGCGGAGCAAAUAGAGGCUAUUCCUGAGGUGGACAAAGUCCGCGAUGUCAAUGAAAUGAGAGUAAGAAAUCCGCAAGUUUUUCGAAAGAGACGUGAUCCGUUUGAAUUGUUUAGUAAUCGUGAAUUUCGAAACAGAUAUCGCUUAUCGAAAGACAGUGUACGAUUUGUGAUCAGUUUAGUGGAAGAUAGGUUAGUGUCUCAUGCCGGUCACCACAACGACAUAUCCCCAGCAAUGCAGGUACUUGUAACCCUGCGGUUCUAUGCUAAAGGAUGCUACCAGACAAAAUUAGGAGAUCUGCAUGGCAUUUUCCAGCCUAGCGUAUCCAGCAUAGUUGCAAAAGUAUCUGAUGCUAUUGCUGCACUGCUUCCAUGAUUUAUUGUGUAUCCAGCUAGAAUGGAAGCUCUUAAAAUGGAUUUUUACAACAUAGAUCACUUUCCUGGGGUUGUGGGCUGUAUUGAUUGCACCCACAUUGCAAUAACCCCAGUCGGGAGUGAGCUAUGUUGUAUGUUAACCGUAAGGGUUAUUAUUCUAUCAACAUGCAAGUAAUGUGUGAUGCUCAGAGACGAAUUCUGAAUAUUGUUGCUAAAUGGCGAGGCAGUGUUCAUGAUGCACGUAUAUGGGACUCGUGCUCUCUGAAGGAAGAGUUUGAUCCUCGAGGAUAAAGGGAAUCUUGCUUGGGGAUGCUGGAUACCCAUGCAAGCCAUACUUUCUGACACCAAUCCAAUCUCCUCAAACUCAACCUGAACAGAGGUAUAACAGGUCCCAUAAAUCUACGCGCAUAACUGUAAAGCACUGCUUUGGGGAAUGGAAGGGCAUGUUUAGCGCCCUUCGCAAUGUCAUGCAGAUAUCCCUUCCGACAGCGAAAACAGCCAUCAUUGCCAUGGCUGUUUUGUUUAACAUCAGGAAGGAGCACCAUGACAAUCAUGGUUAUGAUUCUGAUUUGGAUGAGGAAGAGGCCUGCGAAUUUUCUUCGGAAGGUAUAGAAGAGCAGCCUCUUCCUGAUUCUGUCCUGGUAGCAGGGAAUAUGUUCCGCAGGGACUUCGUGCGAAGAAAUUUUGCGUGAAGGAGUUCCUGCAUUGCUGAGGAUGCUGACGCUCUAACCUAUCUGCUCUAUCUGAUCAUCUAAGCACUGCCUUUCGAUGAAGAUAUCUGCUAGAAGUUCUACGAAAACUAAACAAUUCAAAUGGAUCAAGUUCCUUUCGAAAACCUUGUGGAUUUCUUACUCUCAUUUUAAUAAAUGAAACUUUGUUUUAUAUUAUAA